This 301-nucleotide ribosomal RNA is filed under the name uncultured bacterium. RNAcentral describes it as "partial 16S ribosomal RNA". It matches the Rfam family "Bacterial small subunit ribosomal RNA", at positions 509 to 807 of the family's 1533-position model. The record is from RNAcentral.
CAGCCGCCACGGUAAUACAGAGGGUGCGAGCGUUAAUCGGAUUUACUGGGCGUAAAGCGUGCGUAGGCGGCUUCUUAAGUCGGAUGUGAAAUCCCUGAGCUUAACUUAUGAAUUGCAUUCGAUACUGGGAAGCUAGAGUAUGGGAGAGGAUGGUAGAAUUCCAGGUGUAGCGGUGAAAUGCGUAGAGAUCUGGAGGAAUACCGAUGGCGAAGGCAGCCAUCUGUCCUAAUACUGACGCUGAGGUACGAAAGCAUGGGGAGCAAACAGGAUUAGAUACCCCCGUAGUCCCUGUCUCUUAUAC